RNAcentral lists this ribosomal RNA (621 nucleotides) under Triticum aestivum (bread wheat). Its description in RNAcentral is "partial small subunit ribosomal RNA". The record is from RNAcentral. Lineage: Eukaryota; Viridiplantae; Streptophyta; Magnoliopsida; Poales; Poaceae.
AUGUAUCAAUCUAAUCAAGCAAGAAUUAAGAAGGAAAUCCCUUCCCUCUUGCCCGGCCGUGGGCAAAAAGGCCCCCGGCCGGCCCUCUCGCGCCCUCCUUCUAGCAGCGGCAUAACAGUUCUUCAACUAGGGCUGGCCAUUUCUCUUGAUACCGACUCCCCCCCUGAAGCAGUUCGUGUGAAUGAGAUAAAUCUGCAAGUUGAUGUCAAUAGCCGGCCGUACAACAAAGACACUAUCAAGUUUCUAACCAAUCAAAAACAUAAUCUUGACGCCCACAACACUGGUGGGGUCCCUCCUGCACAGCUAGCGGAUUGGUUACUGAAUGAGUUUGAUAGGUUUUAUGACCGGGAGGUGACCUGGGUUUUCUUCCAGGGAGAUUAUGAUGUCGCCUUUCUGUUAAAUCUGGUCGGAAAUUUCAUGCCAGCUACCCUGGUUGAACAUAUGAGGAGGUAUACCUGCUCUCUACCUCAACUCUAUGAUGUUCGGGUAUUGUCGAGGAUUCUAUUUGGUAAAGAUGCAGGCAGUCUUGACUGGCUGGCAGAUAAGAUCAACGUGCAGCGGACCGGCAACAGGCACUCAAGUGGAUCGGAUGCCCUCCUUACACUGGACUGUUUUUUUUAG